RNAcentral lists this ribosomal RNA (460 nucleotides) under uncultured bacterium. RNAcentral describes it as "partial 16S ribosomal RNA". It matches the Rfam family "Bacterial small subunit ribosomal RNA", at positions 338 to 795 of the family's 1533-position model. The record is from RNAcentral.
CCUACGGGCGGCUGCAGUGAGGAAUAUUGGUCAAUGGGCGGGAGCCUGAACCAGCCAAGUCGCGUGAGGGAAGACGGUCCUAUGGAUUGUAAACCUCUUUAGGCGGGGAGCAAUGGCGGGGACGUGUCCCGACCCGGAGAGUACCCGGAGAAAAAGCAUCGGCUAACUCCGUGCCAGCAGCCGCGGUAAUACGGAGGAUGCGAGCGUUAUCCGGAUUUAUUGGGUUUAAAGGGUGCGUAGGCGGGCUUUUAAGUCAGCGGUAAAAAUUCGGGGCUCAACCCCGUCCGGCCGUUGAAACUGGGGGCCUUGAGUGGGCGAGAAGAAGGCGGAAUGCGUGGUGUAGCGGUGAAAUGCAUAGAUAUCACGCAGAACCCCGAUUGCGAAGGCAGCCUUCCGGCGCCCUACUGACGCUGAGGCACGAAAGUGCGGGGAUCGAACAGGAUUAGAUACCCCUGUAGUC